CAGGGAUGUGCGGCGUGCCUAUACAUGCAGUCGAACGCGUCUACGUUAAUGAAAUCAAUGUGCUUGCACGGCGAUGGAUUUAACAUUAGACGAGUGGCGAACUGGUGAGUAACACGUGGGUAACCUGCCCUCAAGCAGGGGAUAACACUUGGAAACAGGUGCUAAUACCGUAUAACAACAAAAACCGCAUGGUUUUUGUUUGAAAGAUGGUUUCGGCUAUCACUUGAGGAUGGACCCGCGGCGUAUUAGCUAGUUGGUGAGGUAAUGGCUCACCAAGGCAAUGAUACGUAGCCGACCUGAGAGGGUAAUCGGCCACAUUGGGACUGAGACACGGCCCAAACUCCUACGGGAGGCAGCAGUAGGGAAUCUUCCACAAUGGACGAAAGUCUGAUGGAGCAACGCCGCGUGAGUGAUGAAGGGUUUCGGCUCGUAAAACUCUGUUGUUAAAGAAGAACAGGUGUAAGAGUAACUGUUUACACCGUGACGGUAUUUAACCAGAAAGCCACGGCUAACUACGUGCCAGCAGCCGCGGUAAUACGUAGGUGGCAAGCGUUGUCCGGAUUUAUUGGGCGUAAAGCGAGCGCAGGCGGUCUUUUAAGUCUGAUGUGAAAGCCUUCGGCUUAACCGGAGAAGUGCAUCGGAAACUGGGAGACUUGAGUGCAGAAGAGGACAGUGGAACUCCAUGUGUAGCGGUGAAAUGCGUAGAUAUAUGGAAGAACACCAGUGGCGAAGGCGGCUGUCUGGUCUGUAACUGACGCUGAGGCUCGAAAGCAUGGGUAGCGAACAGGAUUAGAUACCCUGGUAGUCCAUGCCGUAAACGAUGAGUGCUAAGUGUUGGAGGGUUUCCGCCCUUCAGUGCUGCAGCUAACGCAUUAAGCACUCCGCCUGGGGAGUACGACCGCAAGGUUGAAACUCAAAGGAAUUGACGGGGGCCCGCACAAGCGGUGGAGCAUGUGGUUUAAUUCGAUGCUACGCGAAGAACCUUACCAGGUCUUGACAUCUUCUGCUAACCCAAGAGAUUGGGCGUUCCCUUCGGGGACGGAAUGACAGGUGGUGCAUGGUUGUCGUCAGCUCCUGUCCUGAGAAGUUGGGGUUAAGUCCCCGCAACGAGCGCAACCCUUAUUGUUAGUUGCCCCCAUUUAGUUGGGCACCCUAGCAAGAAUGCCGGUGACAACCCGAGGAGAGAGGGGGGACGAACCUCAAUCAAUCUUGGCCCCUUAUA
This 1222-nucleotide ribosomal RNA is filed under the name Lactobacillus sp. RNAcentral describes it as "bacterial SSU rRNA". It matches the Rfam family "Bacterial small subunit ribosomal RNA", at positions 30 to 1206 of the family's 1533-position model. The record is from RNAcentral. Lineage: Bacteria; Bacillati; Bacillota; Bacilli; Lactobacillales; Lactobacillaceae.